GGCUGCAAAAAAUGACUCAUAUUGUUAAUGUUGCCACAGGAAUUGUAAAUCAAUUUCCAAAUAGUUUCAGUACAAAACAGUAGAAAUUUUGGAUUUACCUGACACAAGAAUAGAUCAGAAUUUUGCUGAGCUGUCCUCAUUCAUUGAAAAGGGACUGGAGGAUGGAAAGGUUUUGGUUCAUUGAGCCCCUCCAAUGCGAUUCAAUGUUUCUAUGGUAACUGCUAUGCAGAAUCUGUUCAAGU
Xenia sp. Carnegie-2017 is the source of this 242-nucleotide long non-coding RNA. RefSeq lists it as uncharacterized. The transcript is spliced from 3 exons. Lineage: Eukaryota; Metazoa; Cnidaria; Anthozoa; Malacalcyonacea; Xeniidae. The record is from RefSeq and is a predicted model, not a curated record.